GAAGCUUGCUUCUCUGAUGUUAGCGGCGGACGGGUGAGUAACACGUGGAUAACCUACCUAUAAGACUGGGAUAACUUCGGGAAACCGGAGCUAAUACCGGAUAAUAUUUUGAACCGCAUGGUUCAAAAGUGAAAGACGGUCUUGCUGUCACUUAUAGAUGGAUCCGCGCUGCAUUAGCUAGUUGGUAAGGUAACGGCUUACCAAGGCAACGAUGCAUAGCCGACCUGAGAGGGUGAUCGGCCACACUGGAACUGAGACACGGUCCAGACUCCUACGGGAGGCAGCAGUAGGGAAUCUUCCGCAAUGGGCGAAAGCCUGACGGAGCAACGCCGCGUGAGUGAUGAAGGUCUUCGGAUCGUAAAACUCUGUUAUUAGGGAAGAACAUAUGUGUAAGUAACUGUGCACAUCUUGACGGUACCUAAUCAGAAAGCCACGGCUAACUACGUGCCAGCAGCCGCGGUAAUACGUAGGUGGCAAGCGUUAUCCGGAAUUAUUGGGCGUAAAGCGCGCGUAGGCGGUUUUUUAAGUCUGAUGUGAAAGCCCACGGCUCAACCGUGGAGGGUCAUUGGAAACUGGAAAACUUGAGUGCAGAAGAGGAAAGUGGAAUUCCAUGUGUAGCGGUGAAAUGCGCACAGAUAUGUGAGGAACACCAGUGGCGAAAGCGACUUUCUG
RNAcentral lists this ribosomal RNA (672 nucleotides) under Staphylococcus aureus. RNAcentral's name for it is "bacterial SSU rRNA". It matches the Rfam family "Bacterial small subunit ribosomal RNA", at positions 75 to 731 of the family's 1533-position model. The record is from RNAcentral. Lineage: Bacteria; Bacillati; Bacillota; Bacilli; Caryophanales; Staphylococcaceae.